RNAcentral lists this ribosomal RNA (477 nucleotides) under uncultured bacterium. Its description in RNAcentral is "partial 16S ribosomal RNA". It matches the Rfam family "Bacterial small subunit ribosomal RNA", at positions 28 to 507 of the family's 1533-position model. The record is from RNAcentral.
GACGAACGCUGGCGGCGUGCCUAACACAUGCAAGUCGAACGGACAGGCCCUGCUUUUGUUGGGUUCUCGUGAGGCGCACAGGUGAGUAAAACGUGUGGAAACCCUCCCUAUAAUUCUGGUAUAACUUCGGAAAACGGGAGCUAAUCCCGGAUAAUCUCUUGAACCGCGUGGUGCAUUAGUAAAAUUUGGUGGUGGGGGCAGUUGUAGAUGGACUCGCGCCUCAUUGGCUUGUUGGUGAGUUAGUGGCUUACCAAGGCUAUGACGGGUAGCCGGCCUGAGAGGGUGACCGGCCACAUUGGGACUGAGAUACGGCCCAGACUCCUACGGGAGGCAGCAGUGGGGAAUAUUGCACAAUGGGCGGAAGCCUGAUGCAGCAACGCCGCGUGCGGGAUGACGGCCUUCGGGUUGUAAACCGCUUUCGCCUGUGACGAAGCGUGAGUGACGGUAAUGGGUAAAGAAGCACCGGCUAACUACGUG